RNAcentral lists this long non-coding RNA (372 nucleotides) under Nicotiana benthamiana. Its description in RNAcentral is "long non-coding RNA (NBEN_LNC036883)". Lineage: Eukaryota; Viridiplantae; Streptophyta; Magnoliopsida; Solanales; Solanaceae. The record is from RNAcentral.
CUCAACAUAAAAAUCCACUGCAUGAGGCAUAUAAAAUCAUAAGAAUUUUACUGUCAUGGUUCUCCUGUCAAAUUUUGUGCGACAUUGGAAAUCAACUUGUGCAAAUUGAUCGAAAGACUGAAUGAGAGAGCUGAAUGCAAAAAUGACACUUUCAGAAGGUUCCAUUCGGAUCAACAUUCUUAAUUACUUUGGGGUUCUUCAAAAUCUUCUGAAAGGAAUGUCUCUUAGAAAAGUCCUUUACGAUAACUGGGCAAACAUAAAUCAUUAUGUGUCCUUUUCUACCAAAUUGGCGCAUAUGUACCUUCUACUAAGCUUACCUUGCUAAUGAAAUUUUUAGCUUCAACAAAGACAUUAUGUGAUAUUUAUAAACAA